RNAcentral lists this ribosomal RNA (301 nucleotides) under uncultured bacterium. RNAcentral describes it as "partial 16S ribosomal RNA". It matches the Rfam family "Bacterial small subunit ribosomal RNA", at positions 509 to 809 of the family's 1533-position model. The record is from RNAcentral.
CAGUAGCCGCGGGAAUACGGAGGGUGCAAGCGUUAAUCGGAAUUACUGGGCGUAAAGCGUGCGUAGGCGGUUCGUUAAGUCUGUUGUGAAAGCCCCGGGCUCAACCUGGGAAUGGCAAUGGAUACUGGCGAGCUAGAGUGUGUCAGAGGAUGGUGGAAUUCCCGGUGUAGCGGUGAAAUGCGUAGAGAUCGGGAGGAACAUCAGUGGCGAAGGCGGCCAUCUGGGACAACACUGACGCUGAGGCACGAAAGCGUGGGGAGCAAACAGGAUUAGAGACCCCGGUAGUCCCUGUCCUUAUACA